Molecule: non-coding RNA, 25 nt
Filed under: Gallus gallus (chicken)
Lineage: Eukaryota; Metazoa; Chordata; Aves; Galliformes; Phasianidae
Also listed under: 3 other names
Source: RNAcentral
AUAGCUGCCUUCCAAGCAGUUGACC